RNAcentral lists this long non-coding RNA (1411 nucleotides) under Salmo salar (Atlantic salmon). RNAcentral describes it as "lncRNA (ENSSSAG00000086658.1)". The record is from RNAcentral. Lineage: Eukaryota; Metazoa; Chordata; Actinopteri; Salmoniformes; Salmonidae.
CCACCCCCCGCCCUGCACACACAACAUGGCAGCAGGGGGAAGGAGGGAGGCAAGCUAGAGAGUGAGAGCGUGAGUGAGAGGGAGAAAUAGAGAGAGAGGCUGCCGCGGCUGACAGGGAAUACUGGUGCCAUUUUCACAUCGCGGGAAGGAUUCAUUCCUGCUCCGCUCGGCUCCUUUGUGGAAGAAGGGAACGAGGGAAGAAGGGAACGAGGGAAGGAGGAAAAAGAGGAGAAGAAAGGAGGCUGACAACUAUAAAACAGAUAUCAGCAAAUCCCGGGAGGAACCACUGGUGCAGCCAAUGAUGAACAUAUACACAAGAACUCUGAUGGGGGACCGGAGGAGGAGCUUCAAGGCGGCCUGGUACCAUAUCCACCCCUGGCUUGAAUAUUCCAAAAAAUCAGACUCUGUGUUUUGUUACGCCUGCAGGCAUUUCAGCCCUCCCAAAGUCUCAGAGACUGUAUUUGAUUCACAAUUGGGUUUUAACAACUGGAAGAAGGCAACUUACAAAGAGUGGGGAUUUGCAGUUCAUGCCAGGUCUGAGCGGCACAAACAAGCAAUGAUUACAUGGAGAGAAUAUCAGAAAGCUGUAAAAAGUAAUGCAACACUGGUAAAUGCCCUAAACAAGGAACACAACAAACAGGUUCAAGAAAAUCGGGACUAUAUUAAAACAAUAGAAGUACUACUACUUACAGCCACACAAAACAUUGCACAAAGAGGACACAAUGAGUCUGCAGAGUCAGAUAAUAAAGGUAACUUCAUGGCAAUCCUAGAAACAAUAGCUAAGCAUGACACAACUGUGAAAAAAAGGUUGACUUCCAUUCAUAAUGCAAAAUGUACAAGCAAAGGGAUUCAGAAUGAGGUUCUGAGUUGUUUGGCAGACAUGGUUCCAACAAAAAUGAUAUAAGAAGUGAAAGACAGUGAGGUCUUUAGCAUAAUGGCAGACAAAACAAAAGAUGUAAAAAAUAAAGGAGCAGAUAUCUCUGGUACUACUUCAGAGGAGCUGUCCAUGAGAGCUUUCUCCACUUUGAAUCGGCUGAUCGACUAGAUGCAGCAGGGCUUACUGACAAAAUCAUACACAUAUUAGAAAGUCAUGGUCUUGAAUACAAAAACAACCUAGUAGGCCAAGCAUAUGACGGUGCUUCCGUUAUGAGUGGCAAGCAUUCAGGCGUCCAGGCAGGCAUUAAAGAACAAGCAAAGCAUGCCUUUUACAUCCACUGCAGUGCACACUGUCUAAACUUAGUUUUAGUGGAUACAGUCAAAGCUGUCCCUGAGGUAGGACAGUUCUUCUCCUUACUAGAAAGACUUUACGUCUUCACAUCUGGGUCAUAUGUGCAUCAAAAAUGGCUUAGCAUACAAAAAGAGAUGUACCCAGGUGCACCUAGAGAGCUUCAGAGACUAAGUGACACUCGCU